GAUCAUUACAGAAUGAAAAGUGCUUAACUGCAUUUUUUCUUACACAUGUGUUUUUCUUUUUUUGAAAACUUUGCUUUGGUAGGCCUUCUAUAUGGGGCCUGCCAGAGAUUAAACUCAACCAAAUUUUAUUUAAUGUCAACCGAUUAUUUAAUAGUCAAAACUUUCAACAACGGAUCUCUUGGUUCUCGCAUCGAUGAAGAACGCAGCGAAAUGCGAUAAGUAAUAUGAAUUGCAGAUAUUCGUGAAUCAUCGAAUCUUUGAACGCACAUUGCGCCCUUUGGUAUUCCAAAGGGCAUGCCUGUUUGAGCGUCAUUUCUCCCUCAAACCCUCGGGUUUGGUGUUGAGCGAUACGCUGGGUUUGCUUGAAAGAAAGGCGGAGUAUAAACUAAUGGAUAGGUUUUUUCCACUCAUUGGUACAAACUCCAAAACUUCUUCCAAAUUCGACCUCAAAUCAGGUAGGACUACCCGCUGAACUUAAGCAUAUCAAUAA
RNAcentral lists this unclassified non-coding RNA (490 nucleotides) under Lodderomyces parapsilosis. Its description in RNAcentral is "Candida parapsilosis sequence contains 18S rRNA gene, ITS1, 5.8S rRNA gene, ITS2, 28S rRNA gene". The stretch from base 159 to 312 matches the Rfam family "5.8S ribosomal RNA". Lineage: Eukaryota; Fungi; Ascomycota; Pichiomycetes; Serinales; Debaryomycetaceae. The record is from RNAcentral.